Platichthys flesus (European flounder) is the source of this 707-nucleotide long non-coding RNA. RefSeq lists it as uncharacterized. The transcript has 3 exons. Lineage: Eukaryota; Metazoa; Chordata; Actinopteri; Pleuronectiformes; Pleuronectidae. The record is from RefSeq and is a predicted model, not a curated record.
CCAAGGUGAGCUGGCGAGCAGUGGAAGCUAAUCCCCGUUAUCGUUCCCACCGCUUCUCUUCCGAUUAGGCUACAGGGAAGAGGAGCCCGGGAAGGUAGGCUGCUCAGUGCCUAUAGGAGGAGGAAGAGUGGAGGAGGCGAGAGGGAGCGAGAAGAAAGAAAAGCAUACAGAGCAUCCAUAAAGUAUGAAUAAAAUUAAUGACAUCACGAGCUGCACUUUGGAAGAGCCACUGUAGGAAAAAGGCCAUACAUCAUGGGGCAGAAGGAGCUGGGCCGAGGAAAAAGAGUUCAAAAAAUUGAGCGAGAAAGAAAGAAAGUUUGCCUUUUCAGCCCUCACAUUGACACCGUUUUCCAGACUGCUCCAUCAUCGCAGACAUCAAAUCCUCCCCUCUUCAGUGAGAGAAGAAAGGAGAAAGAGAAACACACGCAGUUUCAUUUGAAUAUACACCAGCAACACCCUCACGAAAUUCAGACAAAAAAAAAAACAAAAGCACAAACAUUGUGAUGCGCAAACAGACGGAGACAAGGCACAAACUUGAACACACACACACACACACAGACACACAAAAACUAACCUCCCAGACACACAGCACAUACUGACAGACAAACACACAAAGAAACAGCAAACACAAAGCACAGCACAGCCAGAAGUCUACUUUAUGCAGAAAUAUUCUAAAAUGUGUUUUACAAUACAAUUAAACAUCAAAG